This 261-nucleotide ribosomal RNA is filed under the name uncultured bacterium. RNAcentral's name for it is "partial 16S ribosomal RNA". It matches the Rfam family "Bacterial small subunit ribosomal RNA", at positions 524 to 776 of the family's 1533-position model. The record is from RNAcentral.
UACGGAGGGGGGUUAGCGUUGUUCGGAAUUACUGGGGCGUAAAGCGCGCGUAGGCGGGGCUGUUAAGUCGGGGGGUGAAAUCCCGGGGGCUCAACCCCCGGAACGGCCCUCGAUACUGGCAGCCUAGAGUUCGAGAGAGGUGAGUGGAAUUCCGAGUGUAGAGGUGAAAUUCGUAGAUAUUCGGAGGAACACCAGUGGCGAAAGGCGGCUCACUGGCUCGAUACUGACGCUGAGGUGCGAAAAGCGUGGGGAGCAAACAGG